This 255-nucleotide ribosomal RNA is filed under the name uncultured bacterium. Its description in RNAcentral is "partial 16S ribosomal RNA". It matches the Rfam family "Bacterial small subunit ribosomal RNA", at positions 524 to 777 of the family's 1533-position model. The record is from RNAcentral.
UACAGAGGGUGCGAGCGUUAAUCGGAAUUACUGGGCGUAAAGCGUGCGCAGACGGUCACGUAAGUCGGGUGUGAAAGCCCCGGGCUCAACCUGGGAAUUGCAUUCGAGACUGCGUGGCUAGGGUGCGGAAGAGGGAAGCGGAAUUUCCGGUGUAGCGGUGAAAUGCGUAGAUAUCAGGAGGAAUACCGAUGGCGAAGGCAGGUCUCUGGGCUGACACUGACGCUCAUGCACGAAAGCGUGGGGGAGCAAACAAGG